UUUUCCAAAAACAUAUUUAAUAGAAUUUAUUAUUAAUGAAACCUGCUCAAUGUAAUAUCAAUAGCCGCAGUUCCUACUGUGCUAAGGUAGCAUAAUCAUUAGUCUUUUAAUUAAAGACUAGAAUGAAAGGUAUAAUAUUUAAAUUAUUUUAUAAAACUUUUUAUUUAAAUUUAAUUUAAAUGUAAAAAAGCAUUUAUUUUCAAGAAAGACGAUAAGACCCUAUUGAACUUAACUUUAGUUAAACUGGGGUAGUUAAAUAAAUAAUACUUUACAAAAUUACAACAAAAUGACCUAAUCUAAUUAAUUUCAUGAUCAAGUUACCAUAGGGAUAACAGCGUAAUAUUUUUCCAUAGAUCUUAUAUAAAAAAAAGAUUACGACCUCGAUGUUGAAUUAAUUAUUCUAAUAAAAGCAAAAUUUUAAAAAGAAGGUCUGUUCGACCUUUAAAUAAUCACAUGAUCUGA
RNAcentral lists this ribosomal RNA (462 nucleotides) under Heteropoda venatoria (giant crab spider). RNAcentral's name for it is "partial 16S ribosomal RNA". It matches the Rfam family "Archaeal large subunit ribosomal RNA", at positions 1895 to 2677 of the family's 2987-position model. The record is from RNAcentral. Lineage: Eukaryota; Metazoa; Arthropoda; Arachnida; Araneae; Sparassidae.